CCAUGGGCAAGGACACCUUUUACUCGACCGGGUUGCUCAGAGCCUCAUCCAGCAUUGAACCCCUUCAGGGAUGUGGCAUCCACAACACCACUGAGCAACCUGAUCCAGAGCCUCACCUCUCUUACAGUAAAGGGUUUUCCCCUAAUAGUCAGUCUAAACCUACUCUCUUUCCAUUUGCACCCAUUCCCUCUUUUCCCGUCACUACAUGCUCUUGUAAAUAGUCUUGGCCCAGGCUACAAUUAGGUCAUGCUGGAAUCCUCACUCUUCCAGGCUGAACAAUCCCAAUCCUCUCAGCCUUUCCUCAUAGGAGAGGUGCUUCAUUCCUCUGAACACCUUGUUGGUCCUACUCUGGGUCACAACUGUUUGGUCCCAGAGCAGACAUCCUGUCCCACGAUGAGCCUGGCUCUUUGUUACGAGCUCCUGCUGUAGGCAUUUCAGCACAGAAGCAGAACGACACAAAAUGUGAAGUUCCUGUUGCAGCAGGGAGAACCAGUGGCCCUGCAGACACACUUCAGUAUGGAACAUCCAUGACUGCAUGGAGCGGCCACUUUGAACAUACAUCAUUUAUCCUGUUCUCUUCUGAACUAUCUUCAGCUGGUUUUCUUUUUUUGGUAACAUGAUGUCCACGACUAGACCCCGCAUUCACCCUUGUCAUAUUGUGCUGCACCUGCAGGUCAUGAUCUGUUCCACCUCAGAGGCUUUUUCAAAUUACUGCAGCCUAACCAGUCUUUUCCCAUCUCAGAUUUGUGCUGAAGAGUAAUGACCUUUCUGAAGAUAUGCUAAACAUCUCAUCUCCAAGGCAGCAGAUCCUCUCCUCCAAGCAUCAGUACCAACUCCUUGAGUGGUGCUGGAGCAGUUGUUCAUAGGCCUACACCAUCAGCUGUGUCAGUGAAACAACUCAGUCUAACAAAAAACAAAGAGUGGGGGAGGGAAGGACAAAGACUUUCUUGUGCUCCUUUUUAAUUCAGAUAAUUUUGUUGAUCUGAUUUACAGAGCAACCCUGCAAAACCAGUUUCUUGUGUAUGAGGUCACUGAGCAUCUCUUAAUCAGGCUGUCUCUACUACCUUCUUCUCCUUCCUACACACCAGGAUAAUUUCCAUCUGUGCUUACAACACUGUGGAACUCCUCUGAGCUACUUCGCUCUUACACUCAAUUUUUUCUCUUCUGCCACCAAUUGUCAAAGCAAAGUCUUCUUUGAGGACACUAGUUUUGGUCUCCCAUUCUCUUUUUUCUCUUGCAAAAAUUUUGAAAAAAGUUUGCAACAAUAAACACUAGAUAAUUUCCCUCUAAUUUGAAGUUAACAAAUUUUUUUUCAGACUUUUAAAAUUAUUCAGUGACAAGAGGCUGUAAUAAAUCUGCAGAUUUGCAGAGGGAUCCUGCCGUAGCUUGCAGGGCUGGCUGGGAUCCUCACCCUGCUUUCUUCAUCCCUUUGCUUCAGAUGUUUCUCUCUCUUGCCCACUCCUUCUCCACAUUAUUUCCCAGAAAACAAGGCAAUUUAUAAACCUAAUUCUGACUCAACCAUUUGUUAAGAAUCAGGACUGCACAAGCCUCCUUGGACCAUAUGUAUUUGAUAAGACCUUCAUUGUGUAGUUAGGCAGAGGCUUGGCAAGCACAAGCUUGCAUGCAGUGCUGAGUGCCCUGUCUCCUCUUGAUGACAGAAACAUUACACCAAAUUGGGCAGACCUACCCUGUUUAUCAAUCCACAACUCUGAAGAUUUCACCUGCUCUUUCAAUGUCAGCUGUGUUUCUCUAAAACACAGUGCUGGAGCAAGAUAACUCAUAUAAAUUGCAGCUUACACAAGAAAGAAAUCAGGGUUUAAGAAUUGCAGAAGGACAAGAAACAAGCAGAGGGCUAUCAAAACAUGUGGCAAACCUAGGGUUCUUUUUUUCCCUUUUUGUUUGCAUAAAAUAUCACUCCGGUAGCUCAAAGUAAUUUUUUUCUUGGGAGAGCUCUGUUUGGCAAGUUGAAGAAUUCUGUAUGCAGUUUCACCAGCUCUCUGAAUAAAAAGAGAACAAAAUUCUGAGUCUCUAAGCCGGUUUCCAUUCCUGCCUUUGAACUAACAAGUAGGCAGGUAGGUUUCAAAACAACAAACAUCAAGGUGAUGUUAGGGCUCAGAUUUUAAGUGGGAGACUUAAAGCUGACUUGACUAAAGGCAAAGGUUAACCCGUCUCUGUAGUUAGUAUCACCAAUGUAGGAUUGCAAAAAAUAUUCUGUGGGAAAGCAGUGGGAUGAUUUACAGUUUUUCCUUGUC
This is a non-coding RNA of Cyanistes caeruleus (blue tit), 2252 nucleotides long. Lineage: Eukaryota; Metazoa; Chordata; Aves; Passeriformes; Paridae. The record is from RefSeq and is a predicted model, not a curated record.